This 502-nucleotide ribosomal RNA is filed under the name uncultured bacterium. RNAcentral describes it as "partial 16S ribosomal RNA". It matches the Rfam family "Bacterial small subunit ribosomal RNA", at positions 30 to 523 of the family's 1533-position model. The record is from RNAcentral.
AUUGAACGCUGGCGGCAUGCCUUACACAUGCAAGUCGAACGACAGCAUAGGAGCUUGCUCCUGAUGGCGAGUGGCGAACGGGUGAGUAAUAUAUCGGAACGUGUCCUAGAGUGGGGGAUAACUAGUCGAAAGAUUAGCUAAUACCGCAUACGAUCUACGGAUGAAAGUGGGGGAUCGCAAGACCUCAUGCUCCUGGAGCGGCCGAUAUCUGAUUAGCUAGUUGGUGGGGUAAAAGCCUACAAAGGCGACGAGCAGUAGCUGGUCUGAGAGGACGACCAGCCACACUGGGACUGAGACACGGCCCAGACUCCUACGGGAGGCAGCAGUGGGGAAUUUUGGACAAUGGGGGCAACCCUGAUCCAGCAAUGCCGCGUGAGUGAAGAAGGCCUUCGGGUUGUAAAGCUCUUUUGUCAGGGAAGAAACGGUUCUGGAUAAUACCCAGAGCUAAUGACGGUACCUGAAGAAUAAGCACCGGCUAACUACGUGCCAGCCGCCGCCGUAA